This 468-nucleotide ribosomal RNA is filed under the name uncultured bacterium. Its description in RNAcentral is "partial 16S ribosomal RNA". It matches the Rfam family "Bacterial small subunit ribosomal RNA", at positions 28 to 507 of the family's 1533-position model. The record is from RNAcentral.
GACGAACGCUGGCGGCGUGCUUAACACAUGCAAGUCGAACGGAAAGGCCCUGCUUUUGUGGGGUGCUCGAGUGGCGAACGGGUGAGUAACACGUGAGUAACCUGCCCUUGACUUUGGGAUAACUUCAGGAAACUGGGGCUAAUACCGGAUAGGAGCUCCUGCUGCAUGGUGUGGGUUGGAAAGUUUCGGCGGUUGGGGAUGGACUCGCGGCUUAUCAGCUUGUUGGUGGGGUAGUGGCUUACCAAGGCUUUGACGGGUAGCCGGCCUGAGAGGGGGACCGGCAACAUUGGGACUGAGAUACGGCCCAGACUCCUACGGGAGGAAGCAGUGGGGAAUAUGGAACAAGGGGCGGAAGCCUGAUGCAGCAACGCCGCGUGCGGGAUGACGGCCUUCGGGUUGUAAACCGCUUUCGCAUGUGACGAAGCGUGAGUGACGGUAAUGGGUAAAGAAGCACCGGCUAACUACGUG